UACGUAGGUCGCAAGCGUUGUCCGGAUUUACUGGGCGUAAAGAGCGCGUAGGCGGCUGGUCAAGUCCGAUGUGAAAUCUCCCGGCUCAACUGGGAAACUGCAUCGGAAACUGAUCGGCUUGAAGAUGGGAGAGGGUAGUGGAAUUCCCGGUGUAGUGGUGAAAUGCGUAGAUAUCGUGAGGAACACCAGAGGCGAAGGCGGCUACCUGGACAAUUGCUGACACUCAGGCACGAAAGCGUGGGGAGCAAAAGGG
This 253-nucleotide ribosomal RNA is filed under the name uncultured bacterium. RNAcentral describes it as "partial 16S ribosomal RNA". It matches the Rfam family "Bacterial small subunit ribosomal RNA", at positions 524 to 776 of the family's 1533-position model. The record is from RNAcentral.